AACUAACACAAUAUGCACCCCAAGUUAAUUAAUUCAAUUAUUCAUUAUAUCUCAUAUCAACUAAAUAAUUAAUUAACACACCAAAUUAAUUAAUAUAAUCGAUUAUUAUACUACCUAACAACCAAUUAAUUAAUUAACACUCUAAAAAAUUCAAUUAUUCAUUAUAUCUCAUAUCAACUAAAUAAUUAAUUAACACACCAAAUUAAUUAAUAUAAUCGAUUAUUAUACUACCUAACAACCAAUUAAUUAAUUAACACUCUAAAUAAAU
RNAcentral lists this long non-coding RNA (268 nucleotides) under Lathyrus oleraceus (garden pea). RNAcentral describes it as "Pisum sativum (pea) long non-coding RNA (PSAT_LNC033474)". The record is from RNAcentral. Lineage: Eukaryota; Viridiplantae; Streptophyta; Magnoliopsida; Fabales; Fabaceae.